This 884-nucleotide ribosomal RNA is filed under the name Leuconostoc citreum. RNAcentral's name for it is "bacterial SSU rRNA". It matches the Rfam family "Bacterial small subunit ribosomal RNA", at positions 1 to 872 of the family's 1533-position model. Lineage: Bacteria; Bacillati; Bacillota; Bacilli; Lactobacillales; Lactobacillaceae. The record is from RNAcentral.
UUUUUUAUUUUAUUUUUCUCGUCAGAUGAACGCUGGCGGCGUGCUAAUACAUGCAAGUCGAACGCGCAGCGAGAGGUGCUUGCACCUUUCAAGCGAGUGGCGAACGGGUGAGUAACACGUGGAUAACUGCCUCAAGGCUGGGGAUAACAUUUGGAAACAGAUGCUAAUACCGAAUAAAACUUAGUAUCGCAUGAUAUCAAGUUAAAAGGCGCUACGGCGUCACCUAGAGAUGGAUCCGCGGUGCAUUAGUUAGUUGGUGGGGUAAAGGCUUACCAAGACGAUGAUGCAUAGCCGAGUUGAGAGACUGAUCGGCCACAUUGGGACUGAGACACGGCCCAAACUCCUACGGGAGGCUGCAGUAGGGAAUCUUCCACAAUGGGCGCAAGCCUGAUGGAGCAACGCCGCGUGUGUGAUGAAGGCUUUCGGGUCGUAAAGCACUGUUGUAUGGGAAGAAAUGCUAAAAUAGGGAAUGAUUUUAGUUUGACGGUACCAUACCAGAAAGGGACGGCUAAAUACGUGCCAGCAGCCGCGGUAAUACGUAUGUCCCGAGCGUUAUCCGGAUUUAUUGGGCGUAAAGCGAGCGCAGACGGUUGAUUAAGUCUGAUGUGAAAGCCCGGAGCUCAACUCCGGAAUGGCAUUGGAAACUGGUUAACUUGAGUGUUGUAGAGGUAAGUGGAACUCCAUGUGUAGCGGUGGAAUGCGUAGAUAUAUGGAAGAACACCAGUGGCGAAGGCGGCUUACUGGACAACAACUGACGUUGAGGCUCGAAAGUGUGGGUAGCAAACAGGAUUAGAUACCCUGGUAGUCCACACCGUAAACGAUGAAUACUAGGUGUUAGGAGGUUUCCGCCUCUUAGUGCCGAAGCUAACGCAUUAAGUAUCCGC